UACAGGGGGGGCAAGCGUUGUUCGGAAUUACUGGGCGUAAAGGGCCAGUAGGCGGCCAACUAAGUCCGACGUGAAAUCCCCAGGCUUAACCUGGGAACUGCGUCGGAUAUUGGAUGGCUUGAAUUCGGGAGAGGGAUGCAGAAUUCCAGGUGUAGCGGUGAAAUGCGUAGAUAUCUGGAGGAAUACCGGUGGCGAAGGCGGCAUCCUGGACCGACAUUGACGCUGAACGGCGAAAGCUAGGGGAGCAAACGGG
This 253-nucleotide ribosomal RNA is filed under the name uncultured bacterium. RNAcentral describes it as "partial 16S ribosomal RNA". It matches the Rfam family "Bacterial small subunit ribosomal RNA", at positions 524 to 776 of the family's 1533-position model. The record is from RNAcentral.